GUAGGUGGCAAGCGUUGUCCGGAAUUAUUGGGCGUAAAGCGCGCGCAGGCGGUUCUUUAAGUCUGAUGUGAAAGCCCACGGCUCAACCGUGGAGGGUCAUUGGAAACUGGAGAACUUGAGUACAGAAGAGGAAAGCGGAAUUCCACGUGUAGCGGUGAAAUGCGUAGAGAUGUGGAGGAACACCAGUGGCGAAGGCGGCUUUCUGGUCUGUAACUGACGCUGAGGCGCGAAAGCGUGGGGAGCAAACAGGGAUUAGAUACCCUGGCAGUCCACGCCGUAAACGAUGAGUGCUAAGUGUUAGGGGGUUUCCGCCCCCCUUAGUGCUGCAGCUAACGCAUUAAGCACUCCGCCUGGGAGUACGGCCGCAAGGCUG
RNAcentral lists this ribosomal RNA (373 nucleotides) under uncultured organism. Its description in RNAcentral is "partial 16S ribosomal RNA". It matches the Rfam family "Bacterial small subunit ribosomal RNA", at positions 527 to 896 of the family's 1533-position model. The record is from RNAcentral.